GGAUAAGGACCAGCACAGUGAGGCCGGAGGCCGUGGCUACCCCCAGCAGGACCAUGAAGAUCUGCUCCUUCCAGGAUCGGUGAUGUGGAAUCUCUGUCAACAUGAUGUGCCUUGCCAGGUGUGGUGGUGCACGCCUGUAAUCCCAGCACUCAGAAGGCUGAGGCAGGAGGAUUGCUGCAAGUUCGAGACCAGACUGGGCUACAAAAAUUCUCCGCUCCCGGCGGAGCUGAGGCUCACCUGCGCUAUUAUUAGAGCAAACACUGUGUCCUGACAACUCUGCCCAUGUGUCUCCUGCGGGACUGAUGCUCAGAAAUUAGUGCAACGUCAGGCUCUGCCUUAAGCUUCAAGGACCUGCUGGUGUCCCGAUUUUCCAAAACAACUGAUCAUCAAAGGAUAAUACUCUUCAAACAACAGAACCAGGUGUCCCUGUGUUUCCUUUGGAUCAGUCUGGAUGGGAUUCUCAGCCCCUGUCUGGCAGGCCAGUACCGGCUCUCAGCCUAAAGCAGCUGUAAGCCAGACCUCUGGCUCCUCUGCAACCCUAGGAAUACAGGACCAGAGCCCCAGGGGAAGAAACUCACUCCAAAAAAUUGGCCUCAGCAUCUUAACAACACAGCAGGCCUGGCUCAGGCCCCCUAUAAGCAACACUUCCUCCUGCAGAAAGGGAGCUGCAGACCUCAGCUUUGCACAGAGAUAUGCCGAGACAAUCACAGCUCUUCCAGGAAGGUGGAGGAUGUAAGAGGAUGGCUAUGAAGAAGUGAGGUGACACUCAGGAAAUGAAAGAGAUGGUGUCCGGGCCUCUGGCUGUCGGACCAGGCUUCCUCCUUCUGAGAGCCACUGGAACAAACAACCCACUCUUGCCCUUGGGUUCUGCUCCAGGAUGUGCCGUGUGAGUACUGCAGGCAGUGGCCUCCUCCCAGGACACUGGACACUGCGAGCUUCGCUGUGCAAGUUGCAGAAGACCCCACCAGCACCAGUGUCCCUGUCUUUGGCAGGGCCAACCAUGGGCAGAAAGUACACCUGGCUGCCUUCCUCAACCCUAAUGGGGUUCGGCCUUUCCUCACACCUCCACUGGCCCCCAGUUCCUGCCUGUGUCAUCACAUCAUCACAUCUUGGCUCAUUUCCCCUAUUGGUACUGCUUUUGCUUAUCGGCCUAUAACUCUUCACAUAUUAAAGUUGGUAAUAAUAGA
This is a long non-coding RNA of Chinchilla lanigera (long-tailed chinchilla), 1187 nucleotides long. RefSeq lists it as uncharacterized. The record is from RefSeq and is a predicted model, not a curated record. The transcript has 6 exons. Lineage: Eukaryota; Metazoa; Chordata; Mammalia; Rodentia; Chinchillidae.